Molecule: non-coding RNA, 135 nt
Organism: Triticum urartu
Lineage: Eukaryota; Viridiplantae; Streptophyta; Magnoliopsida; Poales; Poaceae
Source: Rfam
UUUGUACUUCCUCCAUCCGGAAAUACUUGUCAUCAAAAUGAAUAAAAGAGGAUGUAUCUAGAUGUAUUUUAGUUCUAGAUACAUCCUUUUCUAUCCAUUUUGAUGACAAGUAUUUUCGGACGGAGGGGGUAUUGG